Molecule: ribosomal RNA, 227 nt
Filed under: uncultured bacterium
Lineage: Bacteria
Description: partial 16S ribosomal RNA
Rfam family: Bacterial small subunit ribosomal RNA
Source: RNAcentral
CUGGCUCAGGAUGAACGCUAGCUACAGGCUUAACACAUGCAAGUCGAGGGGCAGCAUGGUCUUACCUUGCUAAGGCCGAUGGCGACCGGCGCACGGGUGAGUAACACGUAUCCAACCUGCCGUCUACUCUUGGACAGCCUUCUGAAAGGAAGAUUAAUACAAGAUGGCAUCAUGAGUCCGCAUGUUCACAUGAUUAAAGGUAUUCCGGUAGACGAUGGGGAUGCGUU